Molecule: long non-coding RNA, 297 nt
Filed under: Homo sapiens (human)
Lineage: Eukaryota; Metazoa; Chordata; Mammalia; Primates; Hominidae
Description: non-protein coding lnc-PITX1-3:1
Source: RNAcentral
CUGGGGACUUUGGGAGGCGGUUUAAAGGGCAAGUGAAUGGGGGUCAGAAACACCCAGCUAGCUGUUCUGCUGUGUACAGACAAGUGUUCACUUCAGCAAAGGGGUCUCCAGAUAAGUGAAACGUGUGAAUACCCUGGCAUGAAGGGGGAAGUCACAAACCUGUGGCAAAACUCAGCAGAGAGUGCUGUCCCCAUGCAGUAUCAGUACUUUUGUGUCUAUUGGUGCGAUUGCUGGAUUGAUGUCUGUCUCCCUCUAUAGGCUGUGAGCUCCCACAGGGUGGGACCAUGUCAGUUUUGU